RNAcentral lists this ribosomal RNA (866 nucleotides) under Neisseria gonorrhoeae. RNAcentral's name for it is "bacterial SSU rRNA". It matches the Rfam family "Bacterial small subunit ribosomal RNA", at positions 556 to 1423 of the family's 1533-position model. The record is from RNAcentral. Lineage: Bacteria; Pseudomonadati; Pseudomonadota; Betaproteobacteria; Neisseriales; Neisseriaceae.
GGGCGUAAAGCGGGCGCAGACGGUUACUUAAGCAGGAUGUGAAAUCCCCGGGCUCAACCCGGGAACUGCGUUCUGAACUGGGUGACUCGAGUGUGUCAGAGGGAGGUGGAAUUCCACGUGUAGCAGUGAAAUGCGUAGAGAUGUGGAGGAAUACCGAUGGCGAAGGCAGCCUCCUGGGAUAACACUGACGUUCAUGUCCGAAAGCGUGGGUAGCAAACAGGAUUAGAUACCCUGGUAGUCCACGCCCUAAACGAUGUCAAUUAGCUGUUGGGCAACUUGAUUGCUUGGUAGCGUAGCUAACGCGUGAAAUUGACCGCCUGGGGAGUACGGUCGCAAGAUUAAAACUCAAAGGAAUUGACGGGGACCCGCACAAGCGGUGGAUGAUGUGGAUUAAUUCGAUGCAACGCGAAGAACCUUACCUGGUUUUGACAUGUGCGGAAUCCUCCGGAGACGGAGGAGUGCCUUCGGGAGCCGUAACACAGGUGCUGCAUGGCUGUCGUCAGCUCGUGUCGUGAGAUGUUGGGUUAAGUCCCGCAACGAGCGCAACCCUUGUCAUUAGUUGCCAUCAUUCGGUUGGGCACUCUAAUGAGACUGCCGGUGACAAGCCGGAGGAAGGUGGGGAUGACGUCAAGUCCUCAUGGCCCUUAUGACCAGGGCUUCACACGUCAUACAAUGGUCGGUACAGAGGGUAGCCAAGCCGCGAGGCGGAGCCAAUCUCACAAAACCGAUCGUAGUCCGGAUUGCACUCUGCAACUCGAGUGCAUGAAGUCGGAAUCGCUAGUAAUCGCAGGUCAGCAUACUGCGGUGAAUACGUUCCCGGGUCUUGUACACACCGCCCGUCACACCAUGGGAGUGGGGGAUACCAG